UGCCGGCGACCGGCGGACGGGUGCGUAACGCGUAUGUAACCUACCUUUGACAGGGGGAUAACAUCGAGAAAUUGGUACUAAUACCCCAUAACAUCACCGGAGGCAUCUUCGGUGGUUGAAAACUCAGGUGGUCAGAGAUGGACAUGCGUUGUAUUAGCUAGUUGGUGAGGUAACGGCUCACCAAGGCGACGAUACAUAGGGGGACUGAGAGGUCAACCCCCCUCAUUGGUACUGAGACACGGACCAAACUCCUACGGAAGGCAGCAG
Molecule: ribosomal RNA, 267 nt
Filed under: uncultured bacterium
Lineage: Bacteria
Description: partial 16S ribosomal RNA
Rfam family: Bacterial small subunit ribosomal RNA
Source: RNAcentral